UACAUAAGCACAAAAGGGGCUCUCAUCUUGAACCCUAAUUCACAAAGAAAUCAUCAAAAUUCAAGAAGAAAAACGGAUCAAAAUAAAAUCCAAGCUGAAUUUAGUGAUCACUCAAGUGAGGGGAUCACAAGGUAUGUCUAAUUUUCAUGUUUGGCAAGGUGAUUGAAUCUUCAAGCAGUCAAGUUGGAACGGACGCGCGCUUGAAGGAUAAGCUUUGAAAGGUGAACGUUAUGGGUCUCCGGAUGAAGAUCAAGCGACGAACAAGAACCAAACACACGUUUAAACGAAGCUUCCGCACUGAUCUCGUUUUGUUUUGUUAAGAAGUGAAUUAUGAAAACACUUAUAACUAUGUUUUUGAAUGUUUAAAACAUGUGUGAAUACUUUUGAU
Molecule: long non-coding RNA, 388 nt
Filed under: Helianthus annuus (common sunflower)
Lineage: Eukaryota; Viridiplantae; Streptophyta; Magnoliopsida; Asterales; Asteraceae
Description: hypothetical non coding rna
Source: RNAcentral